AUGUCCACCGACGCCAAACGUGCCGCCGCCGAGAAAGCUGAAGCCGACAAGAAGGCUGCCGAGGACGCCGCUACAGCCACCAAAGCCACGGUCUUUGCAUGGCCUACUGGAGGAAAUUGCCUAUUUACUCAACACAAGCUGGUGCAGAAGGUUGUCAUGGAGCUCUCACCUGUAUGGAUGGUGAGCCCAGGGCCGAGCGACCUGGCGUUUGGUGGCAGCCAGUCGUUUGCACUCAAGAAUGUGGAGCACAAGGAGGUGAAUGGAACUUUGCUGCUUGAGGGAUAUUUGUAG
Molecule: ribosomal RNA, 291 nt
Filed under: Triticum aestivum (bread wheat)
Lineage: Eukaryota; Viridiplantae; Streptophyta; Magnoliopsida; Poales; Poaceae
Description: partial small subunit ribosomal RNA
Source: RNAcentral